This is a non-coding RNA of Salmo salar (Atlantic salmon), 54 nucleotides long. Lineage: Eukaryota; Metazoa; Chordata; Actinopteri; Salmoniformes; Salmonidae. The record is from Rfam.
GCCAGACAGGGAUGUAAGUCUCUCUGGAUAAGAGCGUCUGCUAAAUGACUAAAA